CGACGGGCAGCGGGGCCCGGGCCGCGCCCGGGUGGCUGCGGGAGCAGAGGGUGCUGAGCCCGCUCCCAGGAACCCACGGGAAAAGCCUCCGCGUGGGUAGGGAGGGAUGCCAGCCCGGGCCGAGGGACGUGGCCAGCACUGCCUCCACCCCUCUGAGCAGCAUCAGCACCGCGGGGCACGCUUAGGCCAGGACCAGCUCUACAUAGGAAGACAGCCGUGCACUAGUUCAUGUCAAAAAGCUGUAUUUACAGAAAUGCAGGGAGAAAAACCAGCUCUUUUCAUUUCCAUCCUGGAUUUCGAAGAAACCAGGGAACACUGGAGCUGGAUGCCGGAGCUGUGUUCUCCCUUACACCUGGAGCAGCCACUCUAUUCCAAAGAGGGAACAUUUUGUGUAAGAAGUCGCCCCCAGCCAUGCACAGAACAUGCUCCUGCCCAGACUUGCUCUCUGUGUGCUCUGUGACAUAAUUUUUGCUUAACAAGACUUAGCAGUUGGGCAGCUGCCAGCCCCAUCCAAAAGCUCACUCUGCAGCUACACAGCCUUGGCUUCAUGGCUAAACCACCAGCAGAAAGACCCUCUGGGAAACUGAAGCACCUUUAUUCUGCCAGGGUUAAAAGCAAACAUACUGGGAUCGAAGAAUGUAUCCCCAGGUGAGGCCAGAACUGUACAUGAUUUCACAACAGAGUUAAAACAGUCACAGAGGCAAGUCUAUUGAAGUGGUCUCAGGCCAAGUCUAAGGCCUCCCACCUUCAGCACAUGGAAGUAAAGGAGGAGGGAAUUAACAUGUGAAGGGCACGUGGAAGGCAGAAACAGUCAUAGUCCCAGUCACACAUGCAGAGCAGCUACUCAGUGCUUAGCUUAGCAGUAUUAGAAUGGCAAAGAUAAAUCCUUUCAAAGAUGGCAAACAAAUGCAAAUGCAUUUGGAUUUCUGACUGACCUCUGCCACUCCUCAUACCUUUCCAUCAAAUUAGCAUGGCAUUCACAUCUGCCUGCAGACACGUACACCCACUGCUGGGAGGCCACACAACAAACACUGGCUCUUACAGACUCCCAGAUCAUCAAGCCAGCAAGGCCUGAGCACCACCUCAUCCUGCUCAAGAAAAUACCACACCACAUGCUUAAUUCACAUCAGGCUCAAUGGGAUUCACAGCAGUGAUUACUUUGCUGCACAGGGAAAGGAUUACUCAUAUUUAAGCACAUGCAGAUUGCAAGUCAUCUUGACUUGACCUCUAAGAAGCUGCUAACACCACUUGUCAGCAGAAAGCCUAAAGGAGAAGCAUUGAAGGAUGAUAAGCAACCCUUGAAAUACCAGGGGUGUUUUACAUCCCAUGACUUAUGUGAAAGUAAAUACUCGACCAGGCUUGCACAGUCAGGAGCAUCUCCUGAGAAAUGGGUGGUCAAAGCAUAAGAGAACAACUGCUGUUACAGAGAGGACAUCAAAUCUGGUAUCUUACUGCUCUCAGUUCAGGAAUUUUCAUGGAAACAACCCUCUGAUAAGCUGAACCUAUUUCACUUGCUGGUGGCUGAUGCUUGUUUCUGCUGGCACACAAAGACACAAGAAUUGUGAAAUACAUAGUCAGGUGCUCCUGCAGCCAAUGUGCCUCAUGGUGUCUCUCCAGGCCUAAUCAUCAGAAUUAGAACUACUGAAAAUGAAAGCAACUUUCACCACUUUUUUUUUUUUUUUAAACACAAACCCCAGUUGCAGACAGAGCAUUCUGGAUCCUAGGAAGCCCAUAAACAGUGACCACGCUUGAUCUGUUCCAACUUAUUCCUCCCUUGCCCCUCCACGGGGGAAAUUACUGUUAUUACUUUUAUUUAAUUAGCACCAGGCAGCACACCAUGGUUUCAUAGGCCAUGAGUGGUCAGUGUGGGGUAGAUAACUUCCUGUUCCGUGUCCUCAGACCAGAGAAUCUCUUCAUUUCACCAGAUAAACAGCUGUAUUACCACAAUUGUUACAACUCAACUACUACAAACCUUGCCAUGCAUUAUUAAUCCCCAUCACUUGGGGGCUUAGGGUAAAAUAAGAAAACUCAUUUCCUCUCAGGUUCUCUGUCAAGACCAAACUCCUUUAUGCAAACAGAUCCUGCACAUAACUGGCUCCAAGGAGAAGUGAUCAUACUGCAGACUUGAGUCAAUGUUUCCCCAGCUUUCAAGUGCGUGCAGCAGGAGCUGCUGUGACUGUAAGAAAGAUGAUGCUGUUCCUAACAACUACCACGAUUCCCACUUGAGCACACAUACAAGAAGAGCUCCUGUUGCUGUUCAAGAUUAUUCACUGAGAUUACCAGGGCUGAGCCUCUCAAGAGCCUCACAGAAGUCCCUGUUACGUUCACAUUUGCGUGGGCCUGACUCAUCUCAGAAGAGUGAAACACAUGUACAGCAUUUACAGGUUAUCACUCUGCUACCACAGCACGGCUGUGAAUCCCUCACAGCAGGAUAUAUUACUCAACAAAGCCACUCCACUUGACAAACCCUGUCAGCAGUUUAUCCUACAUGAGGCCAUGUCCCUACCUCCUAACUGGGAAAAAAAAAAGUACCUUCUGAAAGGAGAGCAGUUCAGAGAUUUAUUAACCAUCUCCUCCCACCCAAACCCACUCCAAGUUUCCCAGCUGGAUAAGCAGUACUUGGGGAAUUUGUGUUCUGCAUAAUAUUGGAGACCUCACUGCUGUGGAAAACAACAUACCAGAAGACUUUGUGAUUCCUUCCUUUCAUAACCACUGGGGGGAAAAGGAGAAAUAGAGAUUUUUAGACAAAUUUUAAAGUCUUGAUUAAAACCACAGCAGACAAAAAAAAAAAAAAAAGUCUCCUUGAGUCAUUGAACCAUGCAAGAAAACACAUGACAAACUCAGAACAUGACUCAGGAUUUUUAACUUCUGACAUGUAAAAACAAGAUAGGACUUCACUGACUAUAUUUCAAAUUCAUCUUAAGCUUAAAAGCUGGCAGUUUUAUAGUCUGUUUUAGCUAGGAAGAAAACAGAUGGACUUUGCUUCCUUCCUGAAAGAUUUGCAAAGGCUCCAGACUGAAAGAUGUGGACUGAAACACAUACCUAUGCAAACAAUUUUGCAGCGUUUUGUUAGUAAAAACAUGAGUCAGGAUCUGUCAUUACCUUUGGAAAGGUGCCCACAGAAAACGCAUAGUGCUGAAAAAUGAGAAAGCCAGAGUAGUGACAAACCCUCUGGAGGCUGGAAGCCUCCUGGAGCAAGAGAUGGAGCAGAAUAAAGACUCCAGAUCCAUUAAGCUGGACUGGUGCACCUGCAGGUUGCUAUAGCGAGUGCUCAUUCACUGGCAAACCACAACCUAAUUACACACCAGCGUCACAAAGCACUCUGGUGUUGUUAAGCAUUUUCCAGCCUUAUGUCCUUAUGUGGAAACAAAUGAGAUUGAAGCAGUCUUGGGGUACUCUGUAAAGCAAAAAAGGAAAUACAGUCAGUGCAGAGCCAAACCAUUUACAGCAGAACAAGAAGGACCCAGGAAGACUGAAAGAAGUAUUGCACAUAAAAAUACACUGUCACAAGAUAAUACACACACUUAUUAUGAGAACCUGGUACAUGCACUGCUACUCAUUCCAAGAUUUACAGUUCUGGCCUCAGGUUUUUUUCAGUACAGACUGAAUGCACUGUCAUGCUGGUUCAGCCACACCAGGAGUUUCUCAGAGGCCAAGUUCUAGCCUGCAAUUAAGAUGUCACACAUCCAAGCAUAAACAUUAACUUACACAGCAGUUGACUGUCAGCUUUGCCCAAGUUCUAAAGUUACUCACACUCAUCUGAGAAGGCAUCAGACAAUGAAGGGCUUGUUUGUCAGUUUUAGAGUUCAAAAAACAGAGGGAAUCUCUUAUCCUUAUGAGUAACUGUUGCUGGAUUUGCUAGGGGGAGAAAAAAAAAAAAAGUCAUUCCUUGUUUCAUGCAGCCUUAUGAAGGACCCGUGUCUUGCUGUAAAGUGGCAGUGCUUAGCACUGCAGCUGCUAAAAAAAAAAGAAUCUAUUGAAUCAGAA
Molecule: long non-coding RNA, 3987 nt
Organism: Pseudopipra pipra
Lineage: Eukaryota; Metazoa; Chordata; Aves; Passeriformes; Pipridae
Exons: 2
Source: RefSeq, a predicted model, not a curated record